This 48-nucleotide non-coding RNA is filed under the name Prorocentrum micans. Lineage: Eukaryota; Dinophyceae; Prorocentrales; Prorocentraceae. The record is from RNAcentral.
UUUUUUUUUUUUUUUUUUUUUUUUUUUUUUGCCAAUUUCGACGAGUCU